Molecule: non-coding RNA, 128 nt
Filed under: Pseudosulfitobacter sp. DSM 107133
Lineage: Bacteria; Pseudomonadati; Pseudomonadota; Alphaproteobacteria; Rhodobacterales; Roseobacteraceae
Description: Cis8_sRNA
Rfam family: Ruegeria cis8 sRNA
About the family: Cis-encoded. Targets hypothetical protein.
Source: RNAcentral
AUUGUCAGGAUCUUUGCAAUAUAGGGAAUCAGCGGCAGGUUCAGAACCAGCAACACCAGAUUGCCAAGGUACAUUGAAAUGAUCACGGCCCAGAAUACACCCGGUUCAUCCACCAUCAACCGUGGUCC